This 429-nucleotide ribosomal RNA is filed under the name Chloroflexota bacterium. RNAcentral's name for it is "Chloroflexi bacterium partial 16S ribosomal RNA". It matches the Rfam family "Bacterial small subunit ribosomal RNA", at positions 355 to 776 of the family's 1533-position model. Lineage: Bacteria; Bacillati; Chloroflexota. The record is from RNAcentral.
UGGGGAAUAUUGCACAAUUGGCGCAAGCCUGAUGCAGCCAUGCCGCGUGUAUGAAGAAGGCCUUCGGGUUGUAAAGUACUUUCAGCGGGGAGGAAGGGAGUAAAGUUAAUACCUUUGCUCAUUGACGUUACCCGCAGAAGAAGCACCGGCUAACUCCGUGCCAGCAGCCGCGGUAAUACGGAGGGUGCAAGCGUUAAUCGGAAUUACUGGGCGUAAAGCGCACGCAGGCGGUUUGUUAAGUCAGAUGUGAAAUCCCCGGGCUCAACCUGGGAACUGCAUCUGAUACUGGAAAGCUUGAGUCUCGUAGAGGGGGGUAGAAUUCCAGGUGUAGCGGUGAAAUGCGUAGAGAUCUGGAGGAAUACCGGUGGCGAAGGCGGCCCCCUGGACGAAGACUGACGCUCAGGUGCGAAAGCGUGGGGAGCAAACAGG